RNAcentral lists this ribosomal RNA (510 nucleotides) under uncultured bacterium. RNAcentral's name for it is "partial 16S ribosomal RNA". It matches the Rfam family "Bacterial small subunit ribosomal RNA", at positions 28 to 507 of the family's 1533-position model. The record is from RNAcentral.
GACGAACGCUGGCGGCGUGCUUAACACAUGCAAGUCGAACGAAGAGCGAUGGAAGCUUGCUUCUCUCAAUCUUAGUGGCGAACGGGUGAGUAACGCGGAAUCAACCUGCCCUUCAGAGGGGGACAACAGUUGGAAACGACUGCUAAUACCGCAUACGAUCUAAUCUCGGCAUCCAGGAUAGAUGAAAGGUGGCCUCUACAUGUAAGCUAUCACUGAAGUAGGAGAUUGCGUCUGAUUAGCUAGCUGGUGGGGUAACGGCCCACCAAGGCGAUGAACAGUAGCCGGUCUGAGAGGAUGAACGGCCACAUUGGGACGGAGAAACGGCCCAGAAUCCUACGGGAGGCAGGAGGGGGGAAACUUCCGCAAUGGAGGAAAGGCUGAAGGAGCCAAGCCGGGUGAGUGAUGAAGGCCUUCGGGUUGGAAAGCUCUGUUAAUCGGGACGAAAGGCCUUCUUGCGAAUAGGGAGAAGGAUUGACGGUACCGGAAUAGAAAGCCACGGCUAACUACGUG